RNAcentral lists this ribosomal RNA (394 nucleotides) under uncultured bacterium. RNAcentral describes it as "bacterial SSU rRNA". It matches the Rfam family "Bacterial small subunit ribosomal RNA", at positions 505 to 898 of the family's 1533-position model. The record is from RNAcentral.
GUGCCAGCCGCCGCGGUAAAACGUAGGAGGCGAGCGUUAUCCGGAUUUACUGGGCGUAAAGCGCACGCAGGCGGCUUCGUUAGUCGGAUGUGAAAGCUCCUGGCUUAACCGGGAGAGGCCAUUCGAUACUGCGGGGCUUGAGGUUGGGAGAGGGGUGCGGAAUUCCCGGUGUAGUGGUGGAAUGCGUAGAUAUCGGGAGGAACACCAGUGGCGAAAGCGGCACCCUGGCCCACACCUGACGCUGAGGUGCGAAAGCGUGGGUAGCAAACAGGAUUAGAUACCCUGGUAGUCCACGCCGUAAACUAUGUCAACUAGGUGUUGGUAGUGUUACACUAUCAGUGCCGAAGCAAACGCGUUAAGUUGACCGCCUGGGGACUACGAGCGCAAGCUUAAA